AGAAUCAAAAAAGAGUAAAUUUCAUUUUACUGAAUGUCAUUUGAAAGAUUAAUGACAUAAAUAAAGAAAUUCUCAUGAACUCUUUUCUCUUUUCCGUGUGUGUGUGUGUGUGUGUGUGUGUGUGUGUGAGUUGCUGGGGAUGGAACCCAGGGUAGAUUCUA
Molecule: small RNA, 161 nt
Filed under: Marmota monax (woodchuck)
Lineage: Eukaryota; Metazoa; Chordata; Mammalia; Rodentia; Sciuridae
Source: RNAcentral